Phalacrocorax carbo (great cormorant) is the source of this 3270-nucleotide non-coding RNA. NCBI's taxonomy places the organism in Eukaryota, Metazoa, Chordata, Aves, Suliformes, Phalacrocoracidae. The record is from RefSeq and is a predicted model, not a curated record.
GAGGCGGCGGCGGAGGAUCGCUCCGCACCGCGCGCUCCUGCCGCCGCUGGCUCGCCCUGGGGAGGGGGGCACUGCGGGGCCGCUGCCCACCUCGCUCCGCCCGACCGAAGGGUCGAACAACGCCCGGCGGCCGCCCUGGGCAGGUGGCUGGGAUCUGGCCCCGCUCCGACCCUUCCUGCGGGGCUGCCAGGGGCCGGGGCGGCGAUACCUCCAUUAGGAGGCGGCCGGUGCCGGGGUCCCGUUCCCGGCCGCCGGCCUCCAGCAGCCCGCCUGCCCUCCCCGGCGGGAGGGGCUGAGCGCCCCUCAGUGUUAGCUCCAGCCUCGCGGGGGACGGGGGACACGGGCCCUUUUUGACAGGGCGGGUGCAAAUAUAUUCCUGAUAUUUGUAUCAGGAGUAGCGUGGCCAGCAGGAGCAGGGCAGUGAUCGUGCCCCUGUGCUUGGCACUGGCGGGGCCGCACCUCGAAUACUGUGUUCAGUUUUGGGCCCCUCAGGACAAGAAGGACAGUGAGGUGCUGGAGCGCGUCCAGAGAAGGGCAACGAAGCUAGUGAAGGGUCUGCGGGACAAGUCUUAUGAGGAGAGGUUGAGGGAACUGGGGGUGUUUAGCCUGGAGAAGAGGAGGCUGAGGGGAGACCUUAUCGCUCUCUACAACUACCUGAAAGGAGGCUGUAGUGAGUUUUUGUGCAAGCAGUUCAGAACCCUGAAAGGACGACGGUGAGCACAAGGACAUUCCCGCUCCCUCUCCUGAAAGCCUGUGCCCACCUUAGUGGGUGGACUGUCAUCUUCUUAGGGAGAAGGAAGGCUCAACACCCAGUGGAGAGCAUCUCAAGCAUCCAUGGUCCACAGUAUCUCAGGGCAGAAGCCUGAGUACACUGAGGUGGGAGAAGACUAGGCAUCUAGGUGAGGUCAGAGAUGUAAAAAUACAGACUCCUGUGCCUUUGGUGUCCUUUUCCCACUCGGCAAUAGGAUAGCAGAGUGGUUCUCCGCCUUAUUGUGGAGGGUUUUUUCCCAGGAUCGCAAUGCUUAUCAGCUUUAUUGCAGCAUGUGCACAAGUUUUCACAGGCAAAACUGUGGUUUUGUAUUCACAGAGGCGUAGUUUUUCAUGAAAAUGACUGUUGACUGGGGGAAAAAGAAAAAAAAAGGAGGUGAAGCUUCUCUGAAGAUCCGGUUAUAAAAGCUUUCUCAGAUUGUCUCUGCCAGGAAGUGCUACCAUGUGAACUAGGAAGACUCCAGCUAGCCUACAUUCUUUUCAUCACUUACAGUUUUAGUAUCUUUCAAUAAUCCAGGCACAUAUGUUUUCAUCUAAGGACAUUUUCCCUUCACCGUUAUAAAAAUGUUAAAUAACAAGUUUUUUGCCAAAUCCUUGGAAAAGUCUCACUUGCAAUCAUUUCUACCUUUGUGUUUCUAGCAAUCUUAUUAUUUUUCUCUGCAUUGGAAACCACUACCAAAAAGGUGGACAUAAGCAAUAUCAAGACACUCCAAAAUCUUUUCAACUCUAGGUUGACAACUUUGAAGUCAGCCAAUUUUUUUUUUCACCCUUUUCACUGUCAAGAACCUGAUACCGUUUCCAAAGAUGCAUGGAGCAUUUACAGUGAAAAAUAUGAGAUUGCUAUGCUGCUAUAAUCUGUGCUUCCAAUUAAAAUGACCAUAUAAGAACAGCAUAAAGCAAGUAUAUUUUGUUUAGCCUCCACAAACCUUGCUGAUGUUUGCCCUGUAAUGUGUGCAGCUAAUUGACAUUCGUAAUGUAACAAUUUACAUGUAAAUCCAUUUCCUUAUGCACAAAUUUGUUGAUCAAGUCUUUGUCUACCACUCUCAAGUAGUCAAAGAUACAUCUAAAAGCAGAAAAUAGUUAUUUCCCUGAUUUCUCGUGUUUGUCGUACUCAUUUUUGAGAAUGGACAUUGCAUACUGGAGAGUUAGUUUUAGAAGCUAGAAAAUGAUAAAUAGUGUAAACGAUUUCUGAUAUCCAGGAUGUAUUUGGUACCAAGUGUAGUUCACAUCAGCUGAGCCCGGUGCUCUGUCCCUGCCUAGUGGUGCCUGAACCGGGUAUUAGUCCAUUACCCCAAGAAUGAAUUAUGGUUUUAGUAUCAAAACUAAGGGCUGGGGGUUGUUUCUGCAAGAAGACAACAACUUUAAUCCUGACUUUUUUUUGUACAGUACAAGAGAAAUCAGGUUUCCUGAUUCAGUGAUCCUGCUGCUGUGGGAAUUAAUUGAGUUGGAUCUGGAGCAGCCAUGCACUAAAGAGUAGCCAGAGACAAAUAUUUGCAAAGACUAAAUCAUUAUGAUAAAAAGCAGUAACACAGAAGCCCCUCAAAACUCAGGGAAAGGAGAAGGAUGAGGGUAGAAAUUAGUAUCGAGAGAGUCGGUGGCUCCAGAGAUUGCACCUAGUUGUCUUCUUUUGAAAGAAGCUCCACCUCUGGGCCAAAUUCUGCCGCAAUAAAUGUUGGGACCCUUUCUCCUCUAAGGCAAUAGCUCAUGAGCCACUGAAACCCAUAGGCUUAUCGUCAGGGAGCCCUCUCCAAGCAGAUUUACCUUUGGCAUCAGUGUGAUGUUCCUUCGUGUUGACCCCAACAUGGCACCCAACUAGAUGGAGCAGAGAGAUGUGCACAAUUGAUUUCCAACGAUGGCAGCAGGUUUUAAAGCUGGUGAGUUGGUGUCUCAAAGUCUGAAAUUUUGCACUAUGGGAGGUUAUUUGUUGGCUUGAUCUACACGUUGUUUCUGUUACAAUGAAUCCAUUUCAUUAGAGUGAUUUUUACCCAGGCUGAUGAAUAUUAACUCCAAUGAGGAUGCAGUCGUAGUGGGAUUAUGUACUUGUUUUCUCAUGCUCGUACUCGUAUUAUGCUGUCGUAGUGCACUUACGUUCACAGAAGAGCAUUUUCAGUACAAUAACUCUAGCUACGCAGGGAAAGUUAGAAGUGCUACAGCUGGUGUAUGUGUAGAACAAGCCUUGAAGAUGUGAAACACAAAAGCUGGAAAUGGCAAGGUUCAUAAAGGGCCAUUAAAACAGUGGGUAGAAACAUCAAUUUGACCUGUUUAUGGAAAAAAAAAAAAAGUUAUUUGACUUUCAUCAGACUACUGCAGUGAAAUCAAUGUGUGCGUUUGCACCACGCAUGUUGCCCAAGUUACAUCAAUACAGCGAUGCUUGUAGGGAUCUGUCUGCCUUCUUUUCUCCUAAAAAUGGGAAUACCAUUCACUUGUCUAUGCCAGAGGUGUACAUGUUGUACCCACGACCUACUUGUUAUUGGUAAAAAAUAAACUGUGACUUUAAUCAGG